Molecule: ribosomal RNA, 332 nt
Filed under: Edwardsiella ictaluri
Lineage: Bacteria; Pseudomonadati; Pseudomonadota; Gammaproteobacteria; Enterobacterales; Hafniaceae
Description: bacterial SSU rRNA
Rfam family: Bacterial small subunit ribosomal RNA
Source: RNAcentral
GGAGGGGGAUAACUACUGGAAACGGUAGCUAAUACCGCAUAACGUCGCAGGACCAAAGUGGGGGACCUUCGGGCCUCAUGCCAUCAGAUGAACCCAGAUGGGAUUAGCUAGUAGGUGGGGUAAUGGCUCACCUAGGCGACGAUCCCUAGCUGGUCUGAGAGGAUGACCAGCCACACUGGAACUGAGACACGGUCCAGACUCCUACGGGAGGCAGCAGUGGGGAAUAUUGCACAAUGGGCGCAAGCCUGAUGCAGCCAUGCCGCGUGUAUGAAGAAGGCCUUCGGGUUGUAAAGUACUUUCAGUAGGGAGGAAGGUGUGAGCGUUAAUAGCGU